Non-coding RNA from Schistosoma haematobium, 45 nucleotides. NCBI's taxonomy places the organism in Eukaryota, Metazoa, Platyhelminthes, Trematoda, Strigeidida, Schistosomatidae. The record is from Rfam.
AUCCAGUUGACGAGUCCCGAAUAGAACGAAACAUGUAUCCUGGAU